RNAcentral lists this long non-coding RNA (691 nucleotides) under Zostera marina. RNAcentral's name for it is "long non-coding RNA (ZMAR_LNC004358)". Lineage: Eukaryota; Viridiplantae; Streptophyta; Magnoliopsida; Alismatales; Zosteraceae. The record is from RNAcentral.
AAUGCACUUUGUGAGCACUCUAAAUGUCAAUUCGAACUUAAAAUUUGUGUUUUUAAUGUUUUUCAUAUUUUCAACGCUCAUAUUUGAAUGUACUUUUGCCUCACCCUAAGUCGAGUCCCUUCCUCCUAAAGAGAAAAUGACUCCCUAAUUUCAGUUGCUUCAUCAAUUGUUCUAAAAUCUCUCACCCCCUACCCCCUUCAUCCUUUCUUAAUUACGUAACAACAUCCCACCCAAUUCCGGCUCUUUCACUACAAAAAAAAAAAGAACAUCGUCACUUAUCUAAUUUUGCUGAACUCUGAUACAACAUGGGUAGCGCUGUCUGGAAUAGUAGAAGAACUGAAGAAGACUCUCGAGCUCAGUGAAGAGGUCGCCGGAGAAGAAGAUGCAUGUUGAAGGGAGUGUUAACGAUCGAACAGGGAAACGUAACCUGUACCAGAAAGAGAGAAUUAGGUCAGCGACAAGUGAGGGAGAGCCGGGCCACGCGAGCGCCAGGCUGGACCGCCAGCUAUGACAUGAGCUGGUAAUUUAGUAAAGGGUUAAAUUGCAGACAAAACCUUAAGUUUAGUUUAUUUGCGUUUUAUUUUCAGUUUUAUUUCGUUAAUUUCUAUUCUGCACCUACCCUAUGUAAUUUCUUCUAUAAAGGGCUCCGAUUGUAGUUUUUGAUUUAUCGAAAUAAAAACUAAAAUUUCCC